CACAUGUGUUCCAGAACUAAAAGUAUAAUUUAAAAAAAAAAACUAUGCUGAAAUCACUGUAUACUUAACCCCACUGGUAUCCAAGAGUGUUUUCUCUUCUUUGAGUAAGCUCUAGAAACACUGUUCAACUCAAUCAUAACUCUUGCAAUAUUGUAUCACGUGACAUUAACAAUCAACACAAAUAAUAUUCAGAAAUUAAACCGAGUGAAAGCAGUGGAGUGUGCUGAAUGAGACAGGCCCCAGGAGGUUUGCAGAGCUUGAGUGUCUAGCACCCUAUUCUCAGCAAAAAUGCCUGUAAAGUCAAUUUGCCUUAUAAUUUCAUAGCUCCACUUCCACCAAGAUUCAACUUCAGUAUUCCAUUUCUUAACCCAGAGCGGGAACAUAUCCGACUGUAGCUGUUUCUCUGCCUGCAGAUUUUAUGGGGACAGUGAAUGAGAGUAUAUUGUGCUAUUAAACCCUAACCAGGCAGUAAAUUACAGGGAGGAAAACAAAAGCAAAUUCUGCUGAGUAGGAAGAUUUUUUUUAUGUGAAUGAUUGUACCUUAUUCUGAGUAAGCAAAUAAAAUAGUGAAACAUUUCUUAAGAAUUUGUCAUCCUAGUUCAUUUUUGUUUUGCCUUUAGUUUAGCAAUAAAAGGAGUAUUUGAAAGAAAUAGUUUCCACAUGGGGGAAAGUAAGUUGACAGGACAAUAGUAGCCUAGGAGUUGUAAGAGUUGCCAAAUGAAACCUGUUUCAGUAACUACGGAUUUUUUUAAAUCCAUGGACAAACAUGCAGAGGAGAGAAUCAAACUCAAAUAUUUCAACAUUCUCAGUGUUCCUGAGACUGUGGAGUGUUGGCAGCAUCAUUUUUUCAGCAACAUGUGCUUCAAAUUUUUCAGGGGGAGGCAGUGAGGAAGGAGGGAGGCAGAGCAAUGCUAUAAAAUAGACAAAAAUCAGUCUUUGCCCCAUUUGGGGGGUGACCAAUGAUGGUUCUUGGGGACACUGAGAGUGUUUGCCUCCCAUCAAACCUAUUUCUAUGGUUUUUCCAACCCACUCCUUCUCCCAAAAUGGGAGCAGAAUUUGGCAGACGAAGUCCACAGCAUCUUUGUACCAAAUAGGAAAGUACAGAACUCAGUAGUUUUCUUGCUUUCUUUGAUAAUGACACAAGCUCUCCACCAUUGCAUGUGUCAUGUUACGGAAACAAACAAUAAACCCAUCCCUGUGAUAUUCCCAGACCUACCCACCCACUCCCUAAUAUUCAAAAUAAUAUUGAGGGAAUAAAAUGGAAGCAAUGUCAUCAUGAGAUGGGAAUUAAUGUUUUAAUUUGGUAGACAGAGAACUUGAGGUUCUAAGAACUUGCUGUUUUCAAGUUCACAGAAGUUCAAGUCCUUCAGGGGUUCUGUUGUAGCGAUUUUGAGAACAUAGAAAAGUUGUUCAAGGUUAUGGACAUUCAUUUCAAGAAUUCUAGAUCUUAGGGAGCCUCCCUCUUUAACAAGUUCUCAGACUCUGAAGAAUUGGAAGGAUUAAACUUUACACCUAAUUUUUUUCUUUAAAAAAGGUCAAAUUAAAAUUUUCUUAAAAUUGUAACAGUCAUAGAAGUCCUCAAUGUCACAUGGUUUCUUUAGAAACAGAUUCCCUUCCACCCUCUAGAGAGAUUGUUAGGGAAGCUGUUUGCAUUACAAAUGACUACCAGCAAAUAUUUUCAUCAGAAGACAAGGGAAUCUCACUAGAAAUUCAGGAAAUCAGAGAUAUGGAAAGGUCUAUAUGUUUCCAAGAUAGCUCACCUUUAAUUUUGCGGAGAAAACAAAUUUGCUCUUGCUCAAGAGAGUUCUAUAAAACAAAGCUUUUCCAAGAAUUUUUUCUUUAAAGAAAGUGGAAAAAAAGCAGAAACUAGUAUAUGGGGACAGUGAGGACAGAAAUUGUGUUCCUUAAUUAAAAUAUUAAUGAGCAGUCUGCUCACCACAACAAAUGUAACUAUGCAGUCAAAACAGACAUGUCUUGAAAUGGGAGACAACCAAGCAUCUGUAAGGAAAAAAAAAAAAAGCAGAGAAAUAGAAACAUGUGCUGCUCCCAAACAUUUCUUAGGCCAUCUCCUAAAUCCCAGUAUUUUCAUUCACCAGGUCUGGAGGGGACAUUAGAGAUUCUUCCAUUCUGACCAACACGCUCAGAAGAAGCAGUGUGAAGCUGUUUUCAGGGAGCCCAUCCACCACUUCUGGAGACACUCGCUUUUCAGGUAAAGUGAGACAGGCAGAAACAAGUUUACAGUCAUUUGGAGACAGAUCCACGUUGCUGGCCCACCUCGUGAGACUAGAGGAUUCUUCAGGCCUUUGCCAGGACACAAUUGGAAACACUGGUUAUUUUACCAAGGCUUUGACUGGAGUGGCAUAUGACCAGACUGCUUUGAGGAACUGAAGUGAAUUAAUAGAACUGAUAAAAAACCCCUUCAAAAUACUGGCCUCUUACCUUGCCUAAGCAAUUUCUUUACAAAAUUUCUGACCUGUGGUAAGUAAAGAAUGUCACUUUCUUGACCGGCCCAGGAACCUCAAGUUAUUUUGGGAACUCAAGAAGAGAAGAAUUUACCCAAUUUAUACGGGUAUCUGCAGGCACAAAUAAAUUAUCAGCUUGGCUGACCUAGAGGGUCUUUUAAAAGUCUAAUUUGAGGUUUCAUAUUUUAAAAGUUUCAGCAAAGCCAAUUUAAAGGAGCCUAUAUGACCAAUCACUAUUCUUGCUGCACUUUAUGCAAAUCAUCAGGCCAAGUAUAAUAAGAGUAAAACUUGUUUUACAAAUAAAUUGGUUGUAUUGUGAUUCAUCCUUAGUAAAAAUGGGAAACCAGAGAGAAAGAAAUUAUGUUUCAGAAAAAAACUAUAGUACAGCUAUUAUUAGAUUAUAACCUCAUCUAUUGCUUUUCAGUUUUUAUUGUUUAUCUACAAUUUGGACUCAAUCCUGAACUCUCCUGUAGUUACAAGUCUAUACCUAAUAUUUCUCAUUUUUCCCCAUAUGUCUGACUUGGAAUCACUGAAAUUAAAACUGCUUUUUCCUAAAGCCCCACGAGCUGAAGCUAGACAACUUGAUAUAAAUUUUAAGAGAAAUCACUAUAGCAACUAAAUAUCUGAACAGUCUUCAUGCUUGUUGAUGUAUUGACUGCACAGAAAGUUUCCUGGAAUAUCUGAUGUAAACUGCAAACUAGAUUGCCACUAUCUUCUCUGACUUCAUCUGAACAUGCUUCAAGCUCAACAUCUAAAAAUCCUCUCAACUGGCUGACCUCUGGACUAAAAAACUGAGUUUAUAGUUUGUUCUAACCAUUAACUCUGGUUUUUCUUUGAUAUGCACAGAAGUUCUUCUUACUAAAUAUCCAAUUGCUCAAAUCACAUAGAGGACUGACUUUGGGGAAAGCCCAUCAACAACAGCACUGCCUGAUUCACUGUUAACUAUUUAACUGGACUGGCCUAUUCUCUGGGCUGAAAAACUGGUUUAACAGCUUAUAAGACAAUCCAGCAACUCUAUUUCUGAACUAUGAAACUUCUUGGGAAAGUUUCACAAUGGGGAAUGUUGUGGAUCAGAAAACAACAGCCCAAAAUGAAGGCCUCAGCAGCAGCCUCAGAGGCAAGUUUUUCUCUGACCUUCUCCUGCCCUGCUAUCUCUCAGUCCCAUUCUUUCCCAAGGCUAGCCAUAGAAACUAGAAUCCUUCGUCCUUCCGGUGGGUCUUAGAACCAGAACCCUUCUCCCCCAAAUUAGUCAUAAAACCUAAAACUAUUAUUCUAAUAUUCCCUCCACCUUUCUAUGUAAAACUAGCCAUAAAGAAACUAUCUGACCUACCUUGUUUGACUGUAGGUCAUAAGAUCCCAUUCCAGAGAGGGCCCUUCCCCAUACUGAGAAGAACGGAAUGCUUGCUCAGAGAGGCUGAGAAGAAUCUAUACAGGGCUUGCCGGGUUUUCUGCUCUGUCUACUAACAUUAGAAUCUACUCUUUUUGUUCCAUCCUGUUUCUGUAUGGCUGUCCAUAAUUUGUUAAACCUAAGCGUAAAAAUGGACAAUUUCUUCUGUAUCUUUUGGUCUUCAUUCUGAAAGCUCUCUUGUAUACAUGUUAAAUAAAUUUGUAUGCCUUUUCUUUUAUUAAUCAAUUUGCCUUAUGUUGAUAAUUUUCAGCAAAACUUUUUGGAGCCAAGGGCCUUAUAGGGGCCUCACCCAUGAACCUA
Molecule: long non-coding RNA, 4170 nt
Filed under: Homo sapiens (human)
Lineage: Eukaryota; Metazoa; Chordata; Mammalia; Primates; Hominidae
Description: HSALNT0403207
Source: RNAcentral